AGGAAUAAAACCUUGACUACCCAAUGGUUCCCAAGUGCUUACUCCUAAUCGUCUAAACUAGAAUGAUCCCUAUGUCUACCCUUUAACAUCAAUCCCAUUUUUUUUUUUUUUACCUUAGGAGAAGUUUCUUAUCAAUACUAGUGGAUAGGGGGUUUCUUCUUUACUAUGGUUCUGUUUUCUUCUUACGUUAUAAGACAUCAAAGCUUUUUCUCUUUCUUUACAUCCCAGAACCAUUCUCUGUAUAUCAUGCUAUCCCCAUAAAAAUCAAUCACUAGAGUAUAAACUUCUAGAAAAACAUUCUCCUCCUAAGGACACAACUUUUUCUGUUUCUCUUCUUUCUUUCCACAAUCAUUCCAAUCUCAAACCCAAGUAAGAAUCCAGACCUAGUCCUAUCUGAUUUGAAAGUGAAAAUCAGAACUACUCAAGAUUUUAAUCCUGUCGGCUCAUACCUAACAAGUUCUCCCCAAGCAUAAUCCGGUAAAAGACCUACCACUCAAAAAUUAUCAAUUGGCUUGAAAGAAAAGGAUAGGCUGUGGGUAUGGCAAACUGAUCAAAAGAAAGAUCAGCUACUUGGAUCAACAAGAGUGGUGAAAGGAGGAAGAUGAUCCAAAUAUGUAUAUGGUGACCAUGAGCAUGCAAGCAAAACACAACCAGAUAUUUGCAGGUCAAGAUUAAGUUCUUAUAAGGUAAGGAAUGAGAUCAUAUCACAACAUGUUUCAACCAAGUUCAAGAAUGCUCUCCAUUAAUUCCAAGUUUGUUUCAGACUUACUUCAAGUUCAAUCAUCAUGCAUCAAAGAGCUAAAAACCAGGGCAUUGAUCUCAACUGGUGAAUCAUAGCAAGUUAACAAGGUGUAAAUCAUCAUCGCCCCCUAUGCUAAUGCAACGGUCCUACAUGAAACAAUCUAGACUCAAUCCUAGUUUGCAAAUGCAAGCUACAUGAUCACUCUGUUUUAAAAGUUUUUUUCUGAAAAUUUUCAAAUUUUUAGGGGUUUUCAAUGCACAUAUAUGAAUACAAAUUAUAUUCUAUAAUUUCAAAAUAAGAAAAGUGAACACAACAUCAAAUGUCAUCCCAAACCCUCCCCCAAACUUAAAUUACACAGUCUCUUGUGUAAUAAAAAUUUGAGAGUUGGUUUGAGAAUCAAACAAACAAAAGUAUGAAAAUGCAAUGGUAUAUACGGAUGAAGGUUUGGAGUGGUACCUUACUGAAAAUAUCAGUCCAGGUAUUGAGUCAUGGAUUCGCUUGUAUAAGCACCUGGUGCAGGCUGCGCAGGAGGAGCUUCUGUAGGAUGCUCAACGUUGAGUGAGCAAACGGCGAGAUUGAGAGAUCCUGUCGAGUGAGCUGAAAUCUGACGAGUCGAGCUAGAGCUUCAUCGUCGAGUGGCGAGGAGCUCGCUUGGCCGGUGGAACGGGAGCAGACGGUGGUGAGACUGUCGAGUAGAGAUCGACAGAGUACGAGUGCGGUCGACUGAGAGACAGCUCGAGUGCGCUGGUCGAGUAACGGUGAGUCGAGUGGUUUUUGAGAAGACCGUAUGAGUUGAGUGAGAGGGAGAACCGAAUGAUUUGGAGAGUGGUGAUGGAGUGAGAGGAAGAUAAGAUAUGUGUGGUGUGGGUCGAGUAAGUUUUUUUUUUUUUUUUUUUUCAAAAUUAUCUCUACCUCCAUCUCACUAGACUAUGUUUGAUACUGCAUCUUCUGCUCACUUCGUUUAUUUCACUUUCUGAUGAUAAUGUCUCUGUUCUCUCAUCUCUUUGAACUCUUAAACAACACAAAAUCAAAAACAAAAAUUAAAAACACAAAAACUUUAAGCAAUAUGUACAGAGAUACCUUUGGGACUUCCUCCCAAGUGAGCUUGUUUAAAGUCACUAAGCUUGACUGUUUAUGCCUUUUAGGCUUUGGGGGGCUCAUAUAGAGGCAUGGAGGACCCCUCUGGUGUCUCUUGAUCAGCUAGGUAACGCUUGACACGUUGACCGUUCACAGUGAACUCGCUGCCACCCUUGCUUAGGAGAGUGAUCGCACCAAAUGGCAAAACAUCCUUGAUUUCAAACGGUCCAGACCAUCUAGACUUGAGCUUUCCAGGAAACAGUUUAAGUCUGGAAUUGAACAGCAAAACAUGAUCACCAGCCUUAAGCUCCUUAACAACAAUCCUGUUGUCAUGGAAAGCUUUGGUUCUCUCCUAGUAGAUUUUGGAACUUUCAAAAGCAUCAAGUCUGAUUUCCUCAAGUUCAUGGAUGUCAAGAACUCUCUUUGCCUGAGCUGCAUCAAUAUCCACGUUCACAAGCUUGAUAGCCCAAAGCGCCUUAUACACAAUCUCCACAGGGAGAUGACAUGCUUUACCAUACACCAACUGAAAAGGCGUCCUUCCUAUUGGUGUCUUGAAAGCUGUCCUAUACGUCCAUAGAGUAUCAUCCAACUUGGUAGACCAAUCUUUCUUCGAAGCCCCAACAACUCUUGACAAGAUUCCUUUUAUUUGCUUGUUAGAGACCUCAACUUGUUCACAGGUCUGGGGAUGGUAGGCUGUAGACACCUUAUGCUUUACACCAUAUUUCUUCAACAUGCUUUCAAAAACCUUGUUGAUGAAAUGUGUACCACCAUCACUGAUCACUGCUCUCGGUACUCCAUAUCUAGGAAAAAUGAUGAGUUUGAACAGUUUCAGAACAACCUUAUGAUCAUUGGUGGGACUUGCAAUGGCUUUAACCCAUUUUGACACAUAAUCAACUACAACCAGAAUGUAGACAUUGCCGUUUGAUGGAGGGUUGAACGGUCCCAUGAAAUCAAUUCCCAAACAUCAAAAAUUUUUACUUCCAAAAUCGGGUUCUGAGGCAUCUCAUUCCUUCUGUUGAUGUUACCCAUCCUCUGGCAAGCGUCACACUUGGUGAUGAAACUGUUUGUAUCCUUGAACAACGUUGGCCACCAAAGGCCUGCUUGUAGAACCUUCGGAACUGUCUUGAAUGUAGCGAAGUGUCCUCCAUAUACUGAUCCAUGACAGUGCUCAAGCACUCCCUGCACUUCUCCUUCCGCUAUGCAUCUCCUAAACAGCCCAUUUGAACCUCUCUUGUACAAGUAGGGUUCAUCCCAGAAGUAGUGGUUGACAUCUCUGAAAAACUUCUUUUUCCUAUAAGGAUCCAUGUUUGCAGGAAUCUCUCCACAGACCUUGUAGUUCACCACAUCCGCAUACCAGGGCAUACUCUCUGAAUUGACUACUAAACAUUGAAGCUCCUUCAUAGCCAUUCCUGUUUAAUGCAUCUUCUUGCAUAUCUCAACGACCAUAAGAUGUUCUUCAGGCAUAGAGUCAUCGAUAGGGACUGGAUCUUCUUUUCUCAUUCUGAACAGGUGAUCAGCAACGCCGUUAUCUAUCCCCUUCUUGUUAACAAUCUCCAUAUCAAACUCCUGGAGUAGAAGUAUCCAUCUCAGCAGUCUCGGUUUGGUAUCCUUCUUGGAGUAUAUAUGCCUGAGCGCAGCAUGGUCUGUGUAGACUACCACUUUUGAUCCCACCAAGUAACUUCUGAAUUUCUCAAAUGCAAAGACUACAGCCAAGAGCUCUUUCUCUGUUGUUGCAUAUCUCCCUUGUGUCUCAUCAAGAGUUCUGCUCUCAUAGUAGAUGACAUGCAACUUCUUCUCUAUUCGCUGCCCCAACACAGCCCCUACUACAUAAUCUGAGGCAUCACACAUUAUCUCAAAAGGAUGAUCCCAGUCUGGAGCUUGGACUAUUGGUGCUGAGACUAACGCUUCCUUGAUCUUGUUGAAAGCUGUCAGACAGCUUUCAUCAACUACAAACUCGACCUCCUUGCACAGCAGUCUUGUAAGCGGUCUUGCAAUUUUCGAGAAGUCCUUGAUGAAUCUUCUGUAAAACCAAGCAUGCCCAAGAAACUCCUUAUAUCCUUGAUUGACUUGGGAGGCUGCAACUGUACCAUGAUCUCAAUCUUUGCCUUAUCAACCUCAAUCCUCUUCUCUGAUACCUUGUGUCCCAACACUAUCCCUUCAUUCACCAUGAAGUGGCACUUCUCCCAGUUGAGCACUAGGCUUGUCUCCUCACAUCUUGCUAAUACCCUGCAGAGAUUCAACAAACAUGAGGAGAAGGAGGAGCCAUACGCAGAAAAAUCAUCCAUGAAUAUCUCCACCAUCUCCUCUAUCAAAUCCGAGAAUAUAGAGGUCAUACACCUCUGAAAUAUUGCAGGUGCAUUACAUAAACCAAAAGGCAUGCGUCUGUAGGCAAAUGUGCCAUAGGGACAAGUGAAAGUAGUCUUUUCCUGAUCAUUUGGGUGGAUAGGGAUUUGGAAAAAUCCGCUAUACCCAUCAAGGAAACAGUAGUAGGGAUGAUUGGCUAAUCGUUCUAACAUUUGAUCAAUGAAAGGAAGAGGGAAAUGAUCUUUCCUAGAUGCAGCAUUCAGUUUUCUGUAAUCAAUGCACAUCCAAUGCACAUCCUAUGGCCAGUGAUAGUCCUAGUGGGGAUCAAUUCAUCUUUUUCAUUUUUUAUCACUGUAAUUCCUCCUUUCUUAGGUACGCAAUGUACUGGGGAUACCCAAAUACUAUCAGAGAUAGGAUAGAUAACCCCAGCAUUCAACAGUUUAAGAAAUUCUUUUUUCACAACUUCCUUAAGGUUAGGAUUCAAUCUCCUUUGAGGUUCAAUACUAUAGUAUGAUUCAUUUUCCAGAUUAAUCCUAUGCAUGUAGAGACUAGGUGAGAUCCCCUUGAUAUCAUCUUAGGAAUAACCUAUGGUCCUUCUAUAUUUUCUAAGCUCAGUGACUAGCAACUCUAAUUCCUCAUUACUCAAGCUAGCAUUCAAAAUGACAAGAUAAGUAGAGUUGGAUCCAAGGAAUACAUACCUCAGUCCUGAGGGUAGCGGUUUGAGCUCAACCUUGGGAGCUUUUAACUCUGACAAGUAAUCAUCAGCCGCGUUGACAGGGUCAACAGCAGGGUGAGUGAUCGGGCUGCCACUGACUUCCUCCUCUACUGCGCAUACCUCCUUGACAGACUCAUCCAAUUCCUCAAAACGUUCUGAAUUAUCAGUUGCCUUGUAGGUAUCCAGUAACGUUUCGUAGACCUUUGUCUCAGCAUGAAGAAAUCCAUCUGAUCCAUUCUUUGUCAAGGCUGUCUUGAGAUGAUUCUCCUCAGCAAGUUCUUCUAAAAGUUCAUCAGCUAGCUGAUCCAUCUCCUCUAUCCAGAACACCUUGCCAUUGAUUGUUGGUUUCUUCAUGGACUCCUUGAUGUCAAAAGUCAUCUUGAAGUCUUCUCCCAAGCAAAGAUUAAAUUUUCCUUUCUUAACAUCAAUGAUGGCUCCUGCAGUGGCUAGGAAUGGCCUUCCGAGAAUCAAGGGAUCCUUAGGCUCUUCAUCCAUUUCCAAGACAACGAAAUCUGUAGGAACUUCAACAACACCAAUCCUUAUUAGUAAUUCUUCCAAGAGUCCAUGCGGAAGCCUCACUGAUCUGUCAGCUAGAAUGAGAGAUAUGUUGCAUGUCUUGUAUCUUGUAAAUCCUAAACGCUUAGCCACAAACAACGGCAUCAGACUCACUGAAGCUCCAAGAUUACAUAGGCAUCUGCUGAAUGAUAGGGGGCCUAGUGAGCAGGGUAGAGUGAAGGAUCCAGGAUCCAUAAGCUUCAAGGGAGUGAUCUUCUUCUAGAUAAUGGCACUGCAUUUAUGACUCAAUAUCACCAUGCCCCAGAACUCUUUUGUUCUGUCCAUAACCAAAUCUUUGAGGAACUUCUGAUAAGGAGGGAUAAGUGCGAAUGCAUCCAGCAAUGACAUUCUCAACUCAAUCUCUCUCACUUGCUUUUCAACUAACGCCUUAUACUUCUCAGCUUGUUGCUUUUUGAAUCGUCCUGGAAAUGGUAGAGGUGGUUUGUAUGGUGGGGGAACGUAUCUCGCAGGCUUAUCCUUGGAUGCUGCAGGUGUUUCAGCAUGUUUCUCAGCAGGUUGAGGAGCUUCUUCAGGUACGACUUCUGAUUCUUCCAAAGGAACAAUCGGAUCUUCAUUCUGACAUACAUCAUCCCCUUCCAAGUCUUCACUGUCCUCAGUGACUACAACAGGUCCUUUUCUGGGAGGCAAGUGUUUACCGCUCCUCAGCGUGAUGGCAUGAGCAAACUCCUUAGGAUUCUGAACAGCUUUUCCUGGGAGUUGGCCAGGCUUUGGGGAAGAAGUAGAAGCAGUUUUGCCCUCCAUAUACUUGAUCAUGGAAUUCAGAGUCUCAAUCUUCAUGUUCAGAUCAUUAUAUGAGCAGUCCAAUCUCUGAGUCAGCUCAGCAAACUUCUUAGCAUUGUCCAUGGAGCCACUUGCUUGUCCCUGUAGGAGUUGCUGAAGCAUGUUUUUCAUGUCAUGGUCUGGUGCCUAAGGAGGCGGAGCGUGUUGAGGUUGGAAUCCUGGUGGUGGUCCUGCUGGAGGUUGGUAACCUUGCUGAAACUGUUGUUUGGGCACAUAACCUUGGUUUUAGGGCACAAAUGGUUUGUUCUGCCCCUACUGCUGCUGUUGUGGAAGUGGAUAAACCUGAUCCUGGGGAUUUGCAAUAUUGGUGCUCCGAUAGGACAUAUUGGGAUUCUGCUUAUAAAGAUUGUAUCCCUUAUUGUAUCCACCUUGGUUCUGGACAUAACUUAUCUCCUCAGAUUGUUCUCCCUCCCCAUUCAGAAUCUGGAAAGGGUCGUCUUCAGAGACGAAAUGGAUGUUCCUCUGCUGGCUCAUCAAUAGCUUGUCCAACUUAUCAUUCACAGCUUUCAUCUCCUUAUUAUACUUCUCAUCAAGAUAUGUGCUUGCCCUGAUGGUUCUAUCAUAAUCUUCAUUGUAGUUGCCAUCAGAUUGGGAUAGGUUCUCAACAAGCUCCUAACCUUCGUCGACGUCCUUGUUCAGAAAGUUGCCAUUGCUGGCAGUGUCAAGCAACAUCCGGAUCUUUGGGAGAACACCCCGAUAAAGAGUACUGAGGAGAGUCUCCUUGGUGAAGCCAUGGUGGGGGAACUGAAACUGAUAACUUUUGAAGCGUUCCCAGGCUUCACAAAGCGUUUCUCCAUUCUUCUGAGUGAACCCAGAGAUCUCAUUGCGCAGACGUGCAGUUCUAGAGUUGGAGAAAAACUUGGCAAGAAACGACUGCUUGCAUUGAUCCCAGGAAGUGAUAGAUCCUCGAGGAAGAGUUUUCUCCCAUUGAUGAGCUUUGUCACCCAGAGAGAAUGGAAAGAGACGUAGCUUGAAACCGUCCUCACUGACCUCAUUGAUCUUGGUAAGACUGCAGAGACGAUCAAACUCAUCAAGGUGAUCCAGGGGGUCUUCCAUAGCCAGACCAUGAAAUUUAUUCUGCUGGACCAUGGAGAUCAGACCACUCUUGAUCUCAAAGUUGUUGUUCGGCACGGCUGGAGGCACUAUACCCUGACGAUUGGUAUGGUUGCGUGGAGUAUCACCAGCUCCAAUCCGUGUAGGUGCCCGUGGUGGGGGUGGUGGUUGAAUGUUUUCCAUCUCCACUUGGGGUGGUGUAACUCUGUUGCGUUGCUGUCGUGAUGCAUGUACCAAGCGAUCAAUAUGGUCGAAGGGCUGGAACAAGUUCUCUGUGCCUUGCAACCGUGUGUGCAUACAACUCAAAUCAGCUUAUCUCUCUUAUCGGUUGAGUGUGUCAGUCGAGUAGGAGCAGUUGAGCAAGAGUUGUACCUGAAUCAAUAGACAAACAGAAGGAACAGAGUGAGUAAUUGUAGUGAAUGUUAAGUAAAAACUUGAUCUUAGCAAGUCUGAAAUCUCAAAUGUAACAAACAAACACCCAAAUGGCAGCGACGCCAAAAUGAUACUAGGCUUUUUCUAUCAAUUACCCUAGAGUACUAUCAUGUCAUUGCAGUACAAUAGGUAUCAAUCCAAUCAGGUGUGAUGCUAGCAAUCAAGAUAUAUGAUCAGAGAAGAACUAGCUAAUAAAACUCUAGUCCAGAAGGGAAACAAAAUGAAUCUAACAUAAACACUCUAGCAAACUAACAUCCUCCACCUAAUCUAUCCCAUCCUCAAGAACCCUAACACUACUCAGACGCAGAAAUCAUGUUAAACAUCAUGAAACAAGAAUCGUUCAAAACAUGCAUAAUAAUAAGGAUGAUAGGAAGAGUAACAACAAUGAUUUCAGAACUAGUUGCAAAAUCUCAAUAACUCAAAAGAAAUAUGAAUUACAAUUCUCAGGAUCGUUUGGUGGCUACAACAAAAACCUAAUAAAAAUAAAACUCGAUCCCUUGGGCAAUCCAAAUGAAGCCUAUUUAUAACAAUGUUUGGGAAAACCUUAAAACAUAAAACGACAACGUAAAAGCGGUUCAAAGGUUGUUUUGACUAAGUUGGUCGAGUGAGCAUCUCGAGUGACCAUCUUCUCUGCUUUGCUCGAUCGUGUCACUCGAGUGAGUGUGUCGAGUGACCUGUAAAACAAUCAGCUACUUCUUUGCUUUGCUCGAUCAUGUGACUCGAGUGAGUGCAUCGAGUGACAGGUAGUUCUGCUUCGCUUCCCUUCUACUCGAUCUGCCACUCGAUCGUAUACGUCUGCUGCUCACUCGAACGUCAAUGUAACUGCAACGCAUCCUUGCUCCUCACUCGAUCGUCCCACUCGAUCGUUUGCAUGUCGAGUAACGCUUAUUCCUCUGCUUUGCUCUGCAUGUCUCCUAAGUACCUGAAACACUCCAAAUAUGCACAAUGUAUGCAAGAUAUGCAUGAUAUGCAUACAAUCUACCUAAGUAUGUAAAACAUGCAGAAAGGGAUCAAUAUGAUGCGAAUCAACAAGUGAAUGAUGCUGAAAAGAUGAUGAAUGCAUGCUAGAAAAGCGAUGAAAUACUGACUUAUCAACUCCCCCAAACUUAGUCUUUGCUUGCCCUCAAGCAAAACAAAAAGAAACAAAGUGGAAGAGAGGUUUGAAAAUGGGGUCUCAGAACCUGUAACUUGCAAGAUAGAGCAGUUAAAAUCAAUGUCCUGGUUGCUAAGUCUUUGAUGCAUGCUGAGAGAACUUUACUUAACGACUUUAGACAAACUCAUCAAAUCCGAAACUGAUUUUAUCCCUUGAUCUACACAUGCAUUCAAAUCAUUCAUUCCUUUUAACAUUCAUUAUUCAAGUAUAUGAAUCUGGUUGUGCAAGGCUUAACAAACUCACUUGGCUAGGCAGAAAAAGGUUUUGAGAAUCAUGAGGGUUUAAACAAUUUCAGGACAAGGAUCUCUCAAUAAAUGGAUUGAGCUUUAGGGAGAAUGCUAAAGGUAAGGACCAACAAAUGCAUACAGGAAUAAAACCUUGACUACCCAAUGGUUCCCAAGUGCUUACUCCUAAUCAUCUAAACCCGGAUGAUCCCUAUGUCUACCCUUCAACAUCAAUCCCAUUUUUUUUUCUUUUUGCUUUUUGCCUUAGGAGAAGUUUCUUAUCAAUAAUAGUGGAUAGGGGAUUUCUUCUUAACUAUGGUUCUGUUUUCUUCUUACGUUAUAAGACAUCAAAACUUUUUCUCUUUCUUAACAUCCCAGAACCAUUCUCUGUAUAUCAUGCUAACCCCACGAAAAUCAAUCACUAGAUUAUAAACUUCUAGAAAACAUUCUCCUCCUAAGGAUACAACUUUUUCUGUUUCUCUUCUUUCUUUCCACAAUCAUUCCAAUCCCAAACCCAAGUAAGACCCCCGACCUAGUCCUAUCUGAUUUGAAAGUGAAAAUCAGAACUACUCAAGAUUUUAAUCAUGUCGGCUCAUACCUAACACGUUCUCCCCAAGCAUAAUCCGGUAAAAGACCUACCGCUCAAAAAUUAUCAAUUGGCUUGAAAGAAAAGGAUAGGCUGUGAGUGUGGCGAACUGAUCAAAAGAAAGAUCAGCUACUUGGAUCAACAAGAGUGGUGAAAGGAGGAAGAUGAUCCAAAUAUGUAUAUGGUGACCAUGAGCAUGCAAGCAAAACACAACCAGAUAUUUGCAAGUCAAGAUUAAGUUCUUAUAGGAUAAGGAAUGAGAUCAUAUCACAACAUGUUUCAACCAAGUUCAAGAAUGCUCUUCAUGAAUUCCAAGUUUGUUUCAGACUUACUUCAAGUUCAAUCAUCAUGCAUCAAAAAGCUAACAACCAGGGCAUUGAUCUCAACUGGUGAAUCAUAGCAAAUCAACAAGGUGUAACUCAUCAUCGCCCCCUAUGCUAAUGCAACAGUCCUACAUGAAACAAUCUAGACUCAAUCCUAAUAUGCAAAUGCAAGCUACAUGAUCACUCUGUUUUUAAAGAUUUUUCUGAAAAUUUUUCAAAUUUUUAGGGGUUUUCAAUGCACAUAUAUGAAUGCAAAUUAUAUGCUAAAAAUUCAAAAUAAAAAAAAAGAACAGAUGAGUUAGCUCGCAAGACGGUUGAGUGUGUCGGUCGAGUAGGAGCAGAUGAGCAAGAGUAGUACCUGAAUCAAUAGACAAGCAGAAAUAACAGAGUGAGUAACUGUAGUGAAUGUUGAAUAAAAACUUGAUCUUAGCAAGUCUGAAAUCUCAAAUGUAACAAACAAACACCCAAAUGGCAGCGGCGCCAAAUUGAUACUAGGAUUUUUCUAUCAAUUACCCUAGAGUACUAUCAUGUCAUUGCAGUACAAUAGGUAUCAAUCCAAUCAGGUGUGAUGCUAGCAAUCAAGAUAUAUCAGAAAUGAUUAAGUCAAGCAAGCAUAAAUGAUUUUGGGUUUUCAGUGAUCCUAAACGAACAUGUUAAACAUGCGAUAAAUGUAAAGCUGUGAAACAUAGACUACCAUGCAUAAAUUAAAACGUAACGAUUAUUGAUACUAGCAAGAAAACAAAGCAGACCAAGUAAAUAACAAGAGAAUUAAACAGAAAGCACAAAUGGAUAGAAGAUCCCGAGGAUGAGGUUAUUGAUGUAGGUGGAGUAUGCUAAUCUACUUCGAGUGUUUAUCAAACUGCAAACAUUCUAAUCCCUAGACAAUGAACUUCUAAUUCUAGUCAAUCCAAUCUCUUGGCAGAAACUAUCAAGUUUACAACACUUCCUAAUCUCAAUUCUCAUUGAUGAAACAUGCAGUAAACAGGCAUAAAGAAACAGCUCAUUAAUGUCAAUAAACAUCUUAGACAACCAAUCUCUUGGGCUAAGCAUGUAAAUCUCUGGCACUAGUUGGUUCAGACAUUUCAUCAUAUACCUUUCGGGUAUGAAAUGUCUAUGACCUAGUUCCAAUUGAUCAGAGAAGAACUAGCUAAUAAAACUCUAGUCCAGAAGGGAAACAAAACGAAUCUAACAUAAACACUCUAGCAAACUAACAUCCUCCACCUAAUCUAUCCCAUCCUCAAGAACCCUAACACUACUCAGACGCAAAAAUCAUGUUAAACAUCAUCAAACAAGAAUCGUUCAAAACAUGCAUAAUAAUAAGGAUGAUAGGAAGAGUAACAACAAUGAUUUCAGAACUAGUUGCAAAAUCUCAAAUACUCAAAAGAAAUAUGAAUUACAAUUUUCUGGAUUGUUUCGUGGCUAACAACAAAAACCUAAUAUAAAACUCGAUCUCCUGGGCAAUCCAAAUGAAGCCUAUUUAUAACAAUGUUUGNNNNNNNNNNNNNNNNNNNNNNNNNNNNNNNNNNNNNNNNNNNNNNNNNNNNNNNNNNNNNNNNNNNNNNNNNNNNNNNNNNNNNNNNNNNNNNNNNNNNCAUCCUUGCUCCUCACUCGAUCGUCAAUGUAACUGCAACGCAUCCUUGCUCCUCACUCGAUCGUCCCACUCGAUCGUCUGCAUGUCGAGUAACGCUUGUUCCUCUGUUUCGCUCUGCAUGUCUCCUAAGUACCUGAAACACUCCAAAUAUGCACAAUGUAUGCAAGAUAUGCAUGAUAUGCAUAAAACCUACCUAAGUAUNNNNNNNNNNNNNNNNNNNNNNNNNNNNNNNNNNNNNNNNNNNNNNNNNNNNNNNNNNNNNNNNNNNNNNNNNNNNNNNNNNNNNNNNNNNNNNNNNNNNNNNNNNNNNNNNNNNNNNNNNNNNNNNNNNNNNNNNNNNNNNNNNNNNNNNNNNNNNNUGGAAGAGAGGUUUGAAAAUGGGGUCUCAGAACCUGUAACUUGCAAGAUAGAGCAGUUAAAAUCAAUGGCCUGGUUGCUGAGUCUUUGAUGCAUGCUGAGAGAACUUUACUUAACGACUUUAGACAAACUCAUCAAAUCCGAAACUGAUUCUAUCCCUUGAUCUACACAUGCAUUCAAAUCAUUCAUUCCUUUUAACAUUCAUUAUUCAAGUAUAUGAAUCUGGUUGUGCAAGUCUUAACAAACUCACUUGGCUAGGCAGAAAAAGGNNNNNNNNNNNNNNNNNNNNNNNNNNNNNNNNNNNNNNNNNNNNNNNNNNNNNNNNNNNNNNNNNNNNNNNNNNNNNNNNNNNNNNNNNNNNNNNNNNNNNNNNNNNNNNNNNNNNNNNNNNNNNNNNNNNNNNNNNNNNNNNNNNNNNNNNNNNNNNNNNNNNNNNNNNNNNNNNNNNNNNNCCUUCAACAUCAGUCCCAUUUUUGUCUUUUUGCUUUUUGCCUUAGGAGAAGUUUCUUAUCAAUACUAGUGGAUAGGGGAUUUCUUCUUAACUAUGGUUCUGUUUUCUUCUUACGUUAUAAGAUAUCAAAACUUUUUCUCUUUCUUAACAUCCCAGAACCAUUCUCUGUAUAUCAUGCUAACCCCACGAAAAUCAAUCACUAGAUUAUAAACUUAUAGAAAACAUUCUCCUCCUAAGGAUACAACUUUUUCUGUUUCUCUUCUUUCUUUCCACAAUCAUUCCAAUCCCAAACCCAAGUAAGAACCCCGACCUAGUCCUAUCUGAUUUGAAAGUGAAAAUCAGAACUACUCAAGAUUUUAAUCCUGUCGGCUCAUACCUAACACGUUCUCCCCAAGCAUAAUCCGGUAAAAGACCUACCACUCAAAAAUUAUCAAUUGGCUUGAAAGAAAAGGAUAGGCUGCGGGUGNNNN
RNAcentral lists this long non-coding RNA (12834 nucleotides) under Capsella rubella. RNAcentral's name for it is "long non-coding RNA (CRUB_LNC001627)". The stretch from base 6922 to 7025 matches the Rfam family "Plant small nucleolar RNA R71". The record is from RNAcentral. Lineage: Eukaryota; Viridiplantae; Streptophyta; Magnoliopsida; Brassicales; Brassicaceae.